Molecule: ribosomal RNA, 378 nt
Filed under: uncultured organism
Description: partial 16S ribosomal RNA
Rfam family: Bacterial small subunit ribosomal RNA
Source: RNAcentral
GUAGGUGGCAAGCGUUGUCCGGAAUUAUUGGGCGUAAAGCGCGCGCAGGUGGUUCUUUAAGUUUGAUGUGAAAGCCCCCGGCUCAACCGGGGAGGGUCAUUGGAAACUGGGGAACUUGAGUGCAGGAGAGGAAAGUGGAAUUCCACGUGUAGCGGUGAAAUGCGUAGAUAUGUGGAGGAACACCAGUGGCGAAGGCGACUUUCUGGCCUGUAACUGACACUGAGGCGCGAAAGCGUGGGGAGCAAACAGGAUUAGAUACCCUGGUAGUCCACGCCGUAAACGAUGAGUGCUAAGUGUUGGGGGGUUUUCCCGCCCCCCCGUCAGUGCUGCAGCUAACGCAUUAAGCACUCCGCCUGGGGGAGUACGGUCGCAAGACUG